CUGCUCUCGUUCUUUAACCGCGACAUGGCCGCCACCGAUGGCCAGAUCAUAUUGGCCGCAUCCCGUUUUGGGGAUGCGACGCCCGUUUAUUUGCGCGAUUUCUCCAAGCAGCCGCUGCCGGCGGUGGCCAAAAUACUUAAGGGCCAGCAUCAGGCGCUGGGCGUGCCCACCCUAUCGGCGCCCUCGCUCCAGAGCACGGCUCUCUUUUUGAGCGCUGGCAAAAAAUAUCAGAUACUGGCGCAGCCCAUCAAGAUCAAGGAGGGCCGCAAGCCCACUAAUGUGGGCGCCAAGGUGCUCAUACCGGAGACAUACGGCGGCUAUUUUGAGCUGCUCAGCGAGGAUGGACGCUCGACGCGCUGCAUCGAUUCCGUUCUGGAGCUGGCCAGGCGGCGCAAUGCCCGCGUCCUGGUGCGCGAAACGUUUCGCUGCCAACAGAUGAAUCGCACCAUACACGCCGGCGAGCUGUUGACCACCAUGAACGACAACGGCAAAUAUCUGCAGUGCCGGAAUAUCAAGGACGAGAUCAUCAAUCUGCCACUCGAUACCAAAGCCAAGUUCUCGCCGAUUGCGCGCGAGGACAGCAUCAGCGGAGUGCACACCGUCAAGAAUCUGCUGCUCAAGCGAAUGCCCGUCAUUGUGAGACUCGUCCAUGGCAGCGCGCCAAAGGGCCUGAAGCAGCCUUUUGUGCCGGAGCUGCGGCUGCUGGGCUGCGUGGAGAUUGAUCGGAUUUUCGCGCUGCCGCUGCAGAAGGACACGGAUCUGGUGCCGGUGCCGUUGAAUGCAAAGAUUAAGCUGCAGCGCGUCAAGAAUAUGGAGCAGCUGGAGCAUUUCAUAGAGUAUACGCGCUUUCUGGACAAGGCGCAGCGACUGCUGGCGGACGCACGGGAUCGCCUGCAGAUUGUCGAUCUCAAGCUGAGCGAAAAGGAGAAGAAGGACUCCAAGUUCAGCAGCCGCAAUAGCGGCAACAGGCUGCCGGUGGUGAUGCUGCCCUCCGCAGCGGGCCUGGCCAGCGGUUGGGUCGAGAGCGGCUAUGUGCUGCGCAAGAGCGCCAGCUGCGACUCCUGGUCCAAGCAGCAGCAGCAGGCGCUCAACAGCGCCGACAUCGCCGAGGAGUACAACGAGAUCGAUCACAUCUAUGACUAUGUGCGCGGCCUGACGCCGCUCUCAAAGGGCCUGUCGCGCUUCGAGCCCAUCUGCGAGUCGCCCACACUCAAGUCGCAUCACACGGACAGCAGCGGCAAUGGCAACUACUGCAGCCUGAUACGCGCGCCGGCAGCUCCUGCUGCCGCUGGCCAGCUACAGUCACAGCAGCCCAGCAGCAACAACAACAUCAACAAUAACAACUACAGCAGCCUGGAGUCGAACAAGCAUAGCAGCAGCAACGGCGGCGGCGGCGGCGGUGGAGUACACCAUCAUCCGUACCCGCAUCAUCAGCAACAGCAGCAGCUGCUGCUACAUCAGCAUCAGCAUCACCAUCAUCCGUCGGCGCUGCUGGUCAAUCACUAUCAUCACAGCCAUAUACAGGAGGAUAUCAAGCCGGUGCCGCCGCCCAUUGAGACGAUACCCGGCAAGAAGCCGGCCGAGAAGCGGCAGCGUCCCACACUACCAAAGCUUUAUAUCAAGAAUGCGAAUGCGCACAGCGCCGGCAGCAGCAGCAAUGGCAACUCCACCGGCACCGGCACCAGUCACAGUCACAGUCACAGUCACAGCCAUAGUCACAGUCACAGUCAGAGCCAUUCGCAGCAGCAGCUGCCGCCAACGCCGGGUAGCAGCAGCAACAACAACAACAAUACGGCCGCCAUUGUGGCCAGCGCCGCUGCAGCAGCGGUAAACGCUCACCACGCCCACUCGCAUGCCCAUGCACACCACGCACACACACACCCACACGCACACCCACACCACGGCAAGGUGCUGACGCCCAACAAUCAUUUGCCCGUUAAAGAAACGCUGGAGCCGCAGUCGCCGCUGUUUCAUAUCAGAUACAAGAGCCUCAGCAGCCUGCAGCUGACGCCGGACAGCAAUACAGGGGCCAUGACGCCGCCGACGAUCUCAGCCAAGACAGCAGCAGCCGGUGGGGGCGGGGGCGGGGGUGGCUCACAGACGCCGCCCGAUGUGGUGCUCAAGUGCGGCAGCAUACUCAACUCGCACGGCUAUCUGGCGCACAGCCGCAGCUCGAGCAGCAACAACAACAACAAUCACAACAACCAUAAUCCGCGCGAGGGAACGCUGGACUCGUCGCGCAGCGGGGGACGCACAUCGGGCGAUUCACAGAAGCUGCCGGAGAAGAAGACGCGACGCUUGUCGCGGCCGCGCAGCCUCUCCAAUCUGGUGUGGGAUUUGCGGCCAUCCAAGGAGAAGUCCAAGAAGAAGCUCUAUGUGCAUCAUUUUGAUCAGCGUCAGCAGGCGACGCUCUAUCUCUAGGAUGUCAAAAGGGUUGCCGAGCUAUGCGGAGUCGAGCUGGAAUGGAGGGGAGUGUAGUGGAGUGGAGUGGAGUGGAGUGGACCAGAGUGGACUGGAAUGAAGUGGAGGAGAUUCGUUGCCAAAUCGUUUCGCUGCCAUCAACGACAAACCCACAGACAACAACAACAACAACAUCUACAACAACAACUACAACAAAAACAACAACAACAACAAGCAUCAGCAAUAUUUAGCGCUGUGUGUGUUCCUGCAGCUUUCACCAUUUUAGCUUGCAGCAGCAAUUUUAAUUAACAAUUGAAUUGUGCCUUCCCCUGCGCCCAGAACUAUGCUUUAUACAAAAAUUCCACUGAAAUAUUUUUGAAGAAUAUUUUGCCUGGAUGGACGAAAGAGAACGAAUAAUAAGAGAGACGGAGAUACAGUGAAGAAAAAAUGACGGAAGAACCAAACAAAACCAAUCACAUGAAGCGCUGACAGCACACACACACACACACACGUACAUACACACACGCACACAACACAACACACAC
RNAcentral lists this unclassified non-coding RNA (2945 nucleotides) under Drosophila virilis. RNAcentral describes it as "GJ19921". The record is from RNAcentral. Lineage: Eukaryota; Metazoa; Arthropoda; Insecta; Diptera; Drosophilidae.